GGAUGCGAUCAUACCAGCACUAACGCAACGGAUCCCACCAGAACUCCGAAGUGAAGCGUGCCUGGGCGAGAGUAANGCGAGAGUAGUACUAGGAUGGGUGACCCCCUGGGAAGUCCUCGUGUUGCAUCCU
RNAcentral lists this ribosomal RNA (130 nucleotides) under Nicotiana sylvestris (wood tobacco). Lineage: Eukaryota; Viridiplantae; Streptophyta; Magnoliopsida; Solanales; Solanaceae. The record is from RNAcentral.